Molecule: long non-coding RNA, 873 nt
Organism: Xenia sp. Carnegie-2017
Lineage: Eukaryota; Metazoa; Cnidaria; Anthozoa; Malacalcyonacea; Xeniidae
Exons: 2
Source: RefSeq, a predicted model, not a curated record
CAGGAAACUCAAGAUUCACAUUCGAAAUUCCUGGUGUUGAGCUUUUUUCCAUUUUGUUGUAAUCAUAUUUUGUGAAGAGGCAGUAGCAUUUACCUGGACCAGUCAGACCUAAAAAGGGGAACCUCAAUCAAAUUUCUUUUGAAAGAGUAAUUCAUGAAUGAGACAAACCAUGUACCUGCCCUGCUAGCUCGUUGUUUGGCUGAAUUCUGGUUUACAAGUUGUGCUUCUAAUGUUGUCAUGUUAUUUAAUGGAUAAAAAGAGGCCUCCAUCUUCAUUCCUGAAUCAAUGACAAUUUUUAUACCAGGAACCACCAUCCAUGAUUCUGCAAUGUUUGUUGCAACAACAAUCUUUCUUUUUCCCUCCGGCGUUGUCUCAAAUACCUUGAAGAAAAUUUACUGGUAAGGGACUGCAUAAAUGCAAAGAAGUGGAAAUGGUUAAAGAGUGAGAGAGUGUCAAGAAAGUAUGUAGCAUAUGAAAAAGCAGCUAACAACAGAAUAAUUUAGUCACAAGGGUGUUGCUAGUAAUUUAGAAGUGAAUGGUAAAUAGUAAACAAUUGGGGAUUAAUCAAUAAGUAAGCAGAUUAUUUGGGAACUUUGCUUAAGUAAUAAUUUGGUAAAGUGUAGUUGUACAAGUGCAAUUUCAAAUGGCUAUGCAGUUUAUGAAAAUUCUGCUGCUCUUUACCACACAGAAUCGGGUAAAAAAAGCAAGUGGCAAAAAUUGCACUCAGCGUUAAAAACAACUAAUGUUAUUAUAAAACUUCAAUGAAUUUAAAAUAAAGUUUAACCAGAACUUAAGUACAUAAUUUUGUAAUUUUUAAUCAAAAGAUACUUUGCUUGCAUCUCUGAUUAAAAUGGUCCCAAAUCCUUCGAAAAA